AGAGUUUGAUCCUGGCUCAGGAUGAACGCUGGCGGCGUGCUUAACACAUGCAAGUCGAACGAUGAUCCCAGCUUGCUGGGGGAUUAGUGGCGAACGGGUGAGUAACACGUGAGUAACCUGCCCUUAACUCUGGGAUAAGCCUGGGAAACUGGGUCUAAUACCGGAUAUGACUCCUCAUCGCAUGGUGGGGGGUGGAAAGCUUUAUUGUGGUUUUGGAUGGACUCGCGGCCUAUCAGCUUGUUGGUGAGGUAAUGGCUCACCAAGGCGACGACGGGUAGCCGGCCUGAGAGGGUGACCGGCCACACUGGGACUGAGACACGGCCCAGACUCCUACGGGAGGCAGCAGUGGGGAAUAUUGCACAAUGGGCGAAAGCCUGAUGCAGCGACGCCGCGUGAGGGAUGACGGCCUUCGGGUUGUAAACCUCUUUCAGUAGGGAAGAAGCGAAAGUGACGGUACCUGCAGAAGAAGCGCCGGCUAACUACGUGCCAGCAGCCGCGGUAAUACGUAGGGCGCAAGCGUUAUCCGGAAUUAUUGGGCGUAAAGAGCUCGUAGGGCGGUUUGUCGCGUCUGCCGUGAAAGUCCGGGGCUCAACUCCGGAUCUGCGGUGGGUACGGGCAGACUAGAGUGAUGUAGGGGAGACUGGAAUUCCUGGUGUAGCGGUGAAAUGCGCAGAUAUCAGGAGGAACACCGAUGGCGAAGGCAGGUCUCUGGGCAUUAACUGACGCUGAGGAGCGAAAGCAUGGGGAGCGAACAGGAUUAGAUACCCUGGUAGUCCAUGCCGUAAACGUUGGGCACUAGG
This 800-nucleotide ribosomal RNA is filed under the name uncultured bacterium. RNAcentral describes it as "bacterial SSU rRNA". It matches the Rfam family "Bacterial small subunit ribosomal RNA", at positions 8 to 820 of the family's 1533-position model. The record is from RNAcentral.